This 19-nucleotide unclassified non-coding RNA is filed under the name Chlamydomonas reinhardtii. RNAcentral describes it as "small RNA Cre_1889". The record is from RNAcentral. Lineage: Eukaryota; Viridiplantae; Chlorophyta; Chlorophyceae; Chlamydomonadales; Chlamydomonadaceae.
GGGAGGCGGGGGGCAGGCG